Long non-coding RNA from Daphnia magna, 471 nucleotides. RefSeq lists it as uncharacterized. The record is from RefSeq and is a predicted model, not a curated record. The transcript has 3 exons. Lineage: Eukaryota; Metazoa; Arthropoda; Branchiopoda; Diplostraca; Daphniidae.
GAUUUAAGGGAAAUCACUGGACAGUUUACAGGAUUAAAGGAGAACGCAAACUAGAAGAGAAUCGUCGGCAAAGAAAUGUUUUCAUGGCUGUUUUGCCAUCCUGGAAUCCAGUAUGAAAUGGUUUGCUUUCAUCUUGGAGAUGGCAGGAAACAAUGUGCCGCAGAAGAGGACCAGAUGUUUGCCAGGAAGUACUGUUGCUUCAUUGUUAGCGACAUUUCAAACGACGCCAGUGAUGUCUUCCGAUGUACAACACAGCGGCAUCUACACCGCCAAAAGUGGCAUUGAUGUCCCUCCAUUAGCAGAUGCAUUCAGUAUACUUGCGGUGAAUCUCCUGGCAGGAUGGAGUCCGGUAGUCACAUGAGCAAUUCACACAAUGCCAGCAACAACUUUAAUAGCAAAUGUGGUCCAAUAUGUUUUCACCGAAAACGCUGUAGUUUGUAGUUAUUCACCACAAUAAACCUUAAAUUGGAA